Molecule: ribosomal RNA, 504 nt
Filed under: uncultured bacterium
Lineage: Bacteria
Description: partial 16S ribosomal RNA
Rfam family: Bacterial small subunit ribosomal RNA
Source: RNAcentral
GACGAACGCUGGCGGCGUGCCUAAUACAUGCAAGUAGAACGCACAGUUUAUACCGUAGCUUGCUACACCAUAGACUGUGAGUUGCGAACGGGUGAGUAACGCGUAGGUAACCUGCCUGGUAGCGGGGGAUAACUAUUGGAAACGAUAGCUAAUACCGCAUAAUAUUAAUUAUUGCAUGAUAAUUAAUUGAAAGGUGCAAUUGCACCACUACCAGAUGGACCUGCGUUGUAUUAGCUAGUAGGUGAGGUAACGGCCCACCUAGGCGACGAUACAUAGCCGACUUGGGGGGGGGACAGGCCACCCUGGAACUGCGACACGGUCCAGGCGCCUACGGGAGGCCGCAGUGGGGAAUCUUCCGGAAUGGGCGAAAUCUUGACGGAGCAACGCCGCGGGAGGGAGGAAGGUCUUCGGAUCGUAAAACGCUGUGAUGAGGGAAGAACAAAUGUGGAAGGAAAUAUGCACGUCUGGACGGUACCUAAGCAGAAAGCCACGGCUAACUACAUG